Trichomycterus rosablanca is the source of this 1375-nucleotide RNA transcript. It is a transcript of the gene named protein SPMIP7, with no coding region annotated. NCBI's taxonomy places the organism in Eukaryota, Metazoa, Chordata, Actinopteri, Siluriformes, Trichomycteridae. The record is from RefSeq and is a predicted model, not a curated record. The transcript has 8 exons.
GCGGCCAGAGUUUCUUAGCAACCGCUAGGCGACAGAUAGUGGAGCUUGCCGCUUCAGUUAUACUAAAGUAUAUAAUAAUAAAACACAGCUUGAGAAGUGACGAUCACACCAGAGAUGAUCUGAGAUGAAGAAGAACUGCUCGGAACGCUCUCUCAGAGUCAGUCUCCUGACUAAACCCGGUCAGAGCGCUGUUUCUACUAGCAGGUGGUUAUGCAGGUGUAUGAAUCUACCCUAUGAACGGGGUCACUACGACUUCGAGAGCUUUAGGAACACGAAGAGCAGUGCAUUUAUUAAGUCCCAGCAGCAGACCUGUCCCAGGUGUACCACUCUCCCACCAGCAUCGAAACAGGAUGAUGUACCUCUUAUAGAUCCAUGUUCAGGUCUCCUGAGUCCAGCCGCGAGGGUACAGCUGGGCAUCAGACAAAAUACCUCAUUCAUACCCAUCAUGCAUGCACAGUCUGAACUGAACCCAAGAGCCAAAUCAGAGACAGCUGUACAAACUGGAAUUAAAGGCCUCCACAGCAGUGAAAGACCCAAUCCAGUUCCUAUCAGAACACUGCGGUCUGUCAAAUCUGCGGAUAUGAAGAAGGAUGCACCAACUUCUGUUCCAAAUAAAUGGAUGGAUUUGGCUCUGCGGUACACCUACACCUCAGCAGCUCAAAGAGGUUAUGAGGAUGUGGACUGGGACUCUAGGUUACCCCCUUGUUUAAAACCUCCAGUGACUGCUCUGGAGAAAAUGACCGACCCUCUUAAUCAGAGUUUCAUUUUAAAGAGAUACCACAGCAAGCCUGAACUAUGGCAGGUAAUUGGACUUCAAUGGGAUAAGCGUCAACUUCUUUCCUCAGACACUGUAAGGAAGCCCUCUAGUUUCCAUCCCACAAUACCUGGUUACACUGGGAAAGCUCACCAUGACAGACCACAUACCUCAGCCAUCAGUCUGACCUCUGCAGUAUUCACCCCUCCAGUUACAGAUGUAAUGCACUGACGCUAUACGAUAAUGGGACAGUGAAGAGUGUUGUGAUGGGGGUCACUAGACGAGAAAGGCUGAGAACCCCGGCAUGUGAGAAAUCGUAGUCAAUCUGGGGAACCGCUGGGGAAUCCUGAUUGCACCCCUUCUUUUCGCCCAUCCGUGCCUCUAUCUGCUAACCAGGGUCCUUACACAGCGUUUGAAGACCCCACCCAGAAGACACAGUGGCCAAUUGUCUGCUGCAGUAGGCUAGUAGGUGCCCAGCCGACCGGUGGCAGAGCCAAGAUUCGAACCGGGGUCUUCAGAAUCACGGUGCUGGUGUGCUAGCAGAAUACCCUGCUGCACCACCUGGGCGCCUCCAGGACCUUCUUUUUUUGAGGUGACAAUGCUACCAACCGAGCCUCCAUG